UACAGAGGGUGCGAGCGUUGUUCGGAAUUACUGGGCGUAAAGCGCGCGCAGGCGGCCUUUUAAGUCUGACGGUGAAAUGCCGGGGCUCAACCCCGUGCCCGCCGGAGAUACUGGGAGGCUGGAGACGAGUAGAGGCAAGCGGAAUUCCGGGUGUAGCGGUGGAAUGCGUAGAGAUCCGGAAGAACACCGGAGGCGAAGGCGGCUUGCUGGGACGGUACUGACGCUGAGACGCGAAAGCGUGGGGAGCAAACAGG
RNAcentral lists this ribosomal RNA (254 nucleotides) under uncultured bacterium. Its description in RNAcentral is "partial 16S ribosomal RNA". It matches the Rfam family "Bacterial small subunit ribosomal RNA", at positions 524 to 776 of the family's 1533-position model. The record is from RNAcentral.